AUGGAUUUGCUGACAGACCUAGAGCAGUUACUGUUUGCUGCCAGGGUUUCCACUUAAGAUGCAAGAAGUUAAGUGUCCUUGUACUUUCUGUUUGAUUUUGGCAGCCAAGACUGAAUGGGGGAAUACAGGU
Talpa occidentalis (Iberian mole) is the source of this 130-nucleotide small nucleolar RNA. RefSeq annotates it as small nucleolar RNA SNORA31. The record is from RefSeq and is a predicted model, not a curated record. The transcript has a single exon. Lineage: Eukaryota; Metazoa; Chordata; Mammalia; Eulipotyphla; Talpidae.